This 71-nucleotide transfer RNA is filed under the name Zeugopterus punctatus (topknot). RNAcentral's name for it is "tRNA-Gln". It matches the Rfam family "tRNA". Rfam says of the family: Transfer RNA (tRNA) molecules are approximately 80 nucleotides in length. Their secondary structure includes four short double-helical elements and three loops (D, anti-codon, and T loops). Lineage: Eukaryota; Metazoa; Chordata; Actinopteri; Pleuronectiformes; Scophthalmidae. The record is from RNAcentral.
UAGGAAGUGGUGUAUUGGAAGCACUAAGAGUUUUGAUCUCUUCAGGAAGGAUUCGAAUCCCUUCUUCCUAA